UAUGAACCGUUAUAACCGGCGAUUUCCGAAUGGGGAAACCCAGUGUGUUUCGACACACUAUCAUUAACUGAAUCCAUAGGUUAAUGAGGCGAACCGGGGGAACUGAAACAUCUAAGUACCCCGAGGAAAAGAAAUCAACCGAGAUUCCCCCAGUAGCGGCGAGCGAACGGGGAGGAGCCCAGAGCCUGAAUCAGUGUGUGUGUUAGUGGAAGCGUCUGGAAAGGCGCGCGAUACAGGGUGACAGCCCCGUACACAAAAAUGCACAUGCUGUGAGCUCGAUGAGUAGGGCGGGACACGUGGUAUCCUGUCUGAAUAUGGGGGGACCAUCCUCCAAGGCUAAAUACUCCUGACUGACCGAUAGUGAACCAGUACCGUGAGGGAAAGGCGAAAAGAACCCCGGCGAGGGGAGUGAAAAAGAACCUGAAACCGUGU
RNAcentral lists this ribosomal RNA (432 nucleotides) under Escherichia coli. RNAcentral's name for it is "partial 23S ribosomal RNA". It matches the Rfam family "Bacterial large subunit ribosomal RNA", at positions 89 to 561 of the family's 2925-position model. The record is from RNAcentral. Lineage: Bacteria; Pseudomonadati; Pseudomonadota; Gammaproteobacteria; Enterobacterales; Enterobacteriaceae.